This is a long non-coding RNA of Cannabis sativa, 700 nucleotides long. RefSeq lists it as uncharacterized. Lineage: Eukaryota; Viridiplantae; Streptophyta; Magnoliopsida; Rosales; Cannabaceae. The record is from RefSeq and is a predicted model, not a curated record. The transcript has 4 exons.
AUUAAAAAACAAAACUAAAUAAAUUUUAAAAACAGAUUUUUGUUGAUUUUAAAAAUUUUAAAAACACUUUUUCUCAGUUUCUCGGUUGGCUUCUCUCUAGCUUAUUUUCUCAGAAGCUUUCUCUUCCAUGGCUUCAACUACUCUCCACAUAUUUGAAAAUGUAAAAGGAGAAUAUUAUAUGAUGACAGUAGCUUGAGGAAGAAUUUUUGUUGUUACAGAAUUGUGUAGGAGUUAUAGAUGGGAUCCAUAUUUCUGCUCAUGUCUCUAUUGAUGAAUAAAUACCAUAUCGAAGUCGGAAGGUGGAUACAAUUCAAAACGUCAUGUGUAUAUGUUCAUUUGACAUGAAGUUCCCAUAUGUUGUUGCUGGAUGGGAAGGAUCGACUAAUGAUGCACGAAUUCUUUCAGAAUGUGCCACAAACCCAGAUUAUGAAUUCCCAGCUCCACCCCAUGUGUUGAGUUUAGCAUUUCAAGAGAUCAAAUUCAUGAAAUGGCUAAUGUUCGUGAUGAAUUACUGAUCAUAUAUGGAAAGCAAAUCGUCGAUGAAGAUAAUUAAUGAGUGAAGCUUAUUAACAAUUAGAACUUUUUUAAUAUUUUUCGUCAAGAUUGAACAAUUAUUAGUUCAUAUUUUAUUACGACUUUGUCAGUUUUGUGUUAUAGAUAAUGAAUUUCGUGAUUUUAAAUUACUUAAUUUUUUUUAAGA